UAGGGAAUCUUCGGCAAUGGGGGGAACCCUGACCGAGCAACGCCGCGUGAGUGAAGAAGGUUUUCGGAUCGUAAAGCUCUGUUGUUAAGGAAGAACGAGUGUGAGAAUGGAAAGUUCAUACUGUGACGGUACUUAACCAGAAAGGGACGGCUAACUACGUGCCAGCAGCCGCGGUAAUACGUAGGUGGCAAGCGUUGUCCGGAUUUAUUGGGCGUAAAGCGAGCGCAGGCGGUCAAUUAAGUCUGAUGUGAAAGCCCCCGGCUCAACCGGGGAGGGUCAUUGGAAACUGGUUGACUUGAGUGCAGAAGAGGAGAGUGGAAUUCCAUGUGUAGCGGUGAGAUGCGAAAAUAUAUGGAGGAACACCAGUGGCGAAGGCGACUCUCUGGUCUGUAACUGACGCUGAGGUUCGAAAGCGUGGGUAGCAAACAGG
RNAcentral lists this ribosomal RNA (430 nucleotides) under Bacteroidota bacterium. RNAcentral's name for it is "Bacteroidetes bacterium partial 16S ribosomal RNA". It matches the Rfam family "Bacterial small subunit ribosomal RNA", at positions 355 to 776 of the family's 1533-position model. The record is from RNAcentral. Lineage: Bacteria; Pseudomonadati; Bacteroidota.